GUGGGAGGGGGCUUGCUCCCGAUGAGGGUAUGCCAGUCAGCAGUUUAUCGACUGACCCACCGCUAUCGGGAGCAAGCCCCCUCCCAC
RNAcentral lists this unclassified non-coding RNA (87 nucleotides) under Pseudomonas palleroniana. Lineage: Bacteria; Pseudomonadati; Pseudomonadota; Gammaproteobacteria; Pseudomonadales; Pseudomonadaceae. The record is from RNAcentral.